This 270-nucleotide long non-coding RNA is filed under the name Elaeis guineensis (African oil palm). RNAcentral describes it as "long non-coding RNA (EGUI_LNC059185)". The record is from RNAcentral. Lineage: Eukaryota; Viridiplantae; Streptophyta; Magnoliopsida; Arecales; Arecaceae.
GUAUGCCAUACCCGUGUCUCCACACUCCUUGAUUAAGUGAACAACCAACCCAUAUGGCACACAACGACCUAUGCAUGAUAAACAUUGUUGUCCUUGAUAACAACGUAUCAUUUGAUCAUGAACAGGUUUAAGGACUAAAUGACAAAUUCUCCUUUGUCGAGUCUAAAUAGUCCUAAGGACUUCACCACAACACAGGAGUUCAUUAGAAGAUGAAACAAUUUGUGAUGAAAAAUAUCAAAAUAACUUUUAUUAAUUUAUAAUUCAUAUACU